UACGGAGGGUGCAAGCGUUAAUCGGAAUUACUGGGCGUAAAGCGUGCGCAGGCGGUUUGUUAAGUCCGCUGUGAAAUCCCCGAGCUCAACUUGGGAAUUGCAGUGGAUACUGGCAAGCUGGAGUAUGGUAGAGGAAGGUGGAAUUCCCGGUGUAGCAGUGAAAUGCGUAGAGAUCGGGAGGAACACCAGUGGCGAAGGCGAGUCUCUGGACAUUUCCUGACGCCGAGGCACGAAAGCCAGGGGAGCAAACGGG
RNAcentral lists this ribosomal RNA (253 nucleotides) under uncultured bacterium. Its description in RNAcentral is "partial 16S ribosomal RNA". It matches the Rfam family "Bacterial small subunit ribosomal RNA", at positions 524 to 776 of the family's 1533-position model. The record is from RNAcentral.